GUGUGUGUGUGUGUGUGUGUGUGUGUGUGUGUGUAUGUAUAUGUGUAUAUAUACAUAUAUAUGUAUACACACACACACACACACACACUA
Non-coding RNA from Pelobates cultripes (western spadefoot toad), 90 nucleotides. The record is from the annotation of a GenBank genome assembly. NCBI's taxonomy places the organism in Eukaryota, Metazoa, Chordata, Amphibia, Anura, Pelobatidae.